Molecule: long non-coding RNA, 1083 nt
Organism: Nicotiana attenuata
Lineage: Eukaryota; Viridiplantae; Streptophyta; Magnoliopsida; Solanales; Solanaceae
Exons: 5
Source: RefSeq, a predicted model, not a curated record
ACAAAAAGGUCUCUAAAAAAUCCCUAAAGACCUAAAGCUAGCAAAAAUCCCAAAUUGCAGUUGUGGAUUGCUCAUAUCCCAAAUUUCAGCUGUUGGUCGCUCAAACCCCAAACUUUGGAUCUCCACUACUUGCACAACUCUGUUUUACUACUAAAUUUGUGCUUCUGCUUCUGAUCUUGACCUAUAAGUAGUAGCAGCUAAAAAGAAUUCUUUUUAUCAUCCCAUAAACUUCAGAGAGCAAUAAUGCCUUCCAACCAGAAUGAAAUUUAGCAUUUGUGCCUCCAAUAGUGCAUUUGACAGACCAAGAUCCCCUGCCUCUGCCUGGAACACGAAGCACUAAAUGGCCAUAGUUCUCAAGGAAAUACUUCCUGGAAAAUAUCGUGCUACGGACUGCUAUAGGAGAUUGGCUCAAAUUCAAGAAUUGGUGUCUGCACCUUCUCUUCCGAGCAUAGAGAUUGUAGAAAAAUGCUUUGGACCCCAGACUCGUGGCCAUGUAGUUGGCUUUGGUGGUGGCGUAAAGGCGAAGGACUUAAAAAGCGAGACUUCCUCAAAGACUGAAUUAUUGUCAGAACUUUGUUCAACUCAAGACUCAAGAGGAAAAUAACUGCUUGAAAGAUCGCUUGCCAAACAUAGAAAAUGAGAUGAAUCAAUUAAAAGAAUUGGUAUUAGCUCAACAUUCAAAUGUCCAGCCUUCGACAUCACCUAUUUUCGAAGAAGAAUGAAUAUACCAAGUGCUCAAAUGCCAGUUCAUUUCAAGCAACAUGAAAUGAUUACUGGAUUCCUCAGUGUUUUUGCAUAAAAGAUACCCACAUCAGAUACUGAAUAUGUUGGAUACGGGAGUUUACAUGAAGCAAGUUUGUGAGGACCUACAGCUGUUUGACUAUCAUUUUGCUAGGAAUGCUGGACAAAAUUUAUAUUAUAGGCUAGGGAUAUUUUUUUUUUAUAUUAGCUAUUUACGUUUUUUGCUAAGGGAAUAUGUACACAUUAUUGUGACCAUAUAGCUUAAUUACUUUGUGUCUGUACAGUGCCAAUAAUUGAUGUUUAUCCUUUUUGUAAUGCAUUUCUCUAUAUAUGUUUUCAAAG